AAGGAGGUGAUCCAGCCGCACCUUCCGAUACGGCUACCUUGUUACGACUUCACCCCAAUCAUCUGUCCCACCUUAGGCGGCUAGCUCCUUACGGUUACUCCACCGACUUCGGGUGUUACAAACUCUCGUGGUGUGACGGGCGGUGUGUACAAGGCCCGGGAACGUAUUCACCGCGGCAUGCUGAUCCGCGAUUACUAGCGAUUCCAGCUUCAUGUAGGCGAGUUGCAGCCUACAAUCCGAACUGAGAAUGGUUUUAUGGGAUUGGCUUGACCUCGCGGUCUUGCAGCCCUUUGUACCAUCCAUUGUAGCACGUGUGUAGCCCAGGUCAUAAGGGGCAUGAUGAUUUGACGUCAUCCCCACCUUCCUCCGGUUUGUCACCGGCAGUCACCUUAGAGUGCCCAACUGAAUGCUGGCAACUAAGAUCAAGGGUUGCGCUCGUUGCGGGACUUAACCCAACAUCUCACGACACGAGCUGACGACAACCAUGCACCACCUGUCACUCUGUCCCCCGAAGGGGAACGCUCUAUCUCUAGAGU
This 536-nucleotide ribosomal RNA is filed under the name Priestia megaterium. RNAcentral's name for it is "Bacillus megaterium partial 16S ribosomal RNA". Lineage: Bacteria; Bacillati; Bacillota; Bacilli; Caryophanales; Bacillaceae. The record is from RNAcentral.